CGUGUAGGCGGAAUGUCAGGUGUCGUGUGAAAGCCCCGGGCUCAACCCGGGAAUGGCAUGGCAAACCGGCAUUCUUGAGGCAGGUAGAGGUGACUGGAACGACUGGUGGAGCGGUGAAAUGCGUAGAUAUCAGUUGGAACGCCAGAGGCGAAAGCGAGUCACUGGACCUGUCCUGACGCUGAGACGCGAAAGCGUGGGGAGCAAACAGGAUUAGAUACCCUGGUAGUCC
RNAcentral lists this ribosomal RNA (229 nucleotides) under uncultured bacterium. RNAcentral's name for it is "partial 16S ribosomal RNA". It matches the Rfam family "Bacterial small subunit ribosomal RNA", at positions 568 to 796 of the family's 1533-position model. The record is from RNAcentral.